RNAcentral lists this ribosomal RNA (598 nucleotides) under uncultured Lachnospiraceae bacterium. RNAcentral's name for it is "bacterial SSU rRNA". It matches the Rfam family "Bacterial small subunit ribosomal RNA", at positions 49 to 657 of the family's 1533-position model. Lineage: Bacteria; Bacillati; Bacillota; Clostridia; Lachnospirales; Lachnospiraceae. The record is from RNAcentral.
UAACACAUGCAAGUCUAACGGGCUUUAGAAAGCUUGCUUUUUAAACUUAGUGGCGGACGGGUGAGUAACGCGUGAGCAACCUGCCUUUCAGAGGGGGACAACAGUUGGAAACGACUGCUAAUACCGCAUGAAAUUAUUGAGUCGCAUGGCUUGAUAAUCAAAGGAGCAAUCCGCUGAAAGAUGGGCUCGCGUCCGAUUAAAUAGUUGGUGAGGUAACGGCUCACCAAGUCGACGAUCGGUAGCCGGACUGAGAGGUUGAACGGCCACAUUGGGACUGAGACACGGCCCAGACUCCUACGGGAGGCAGCAGUGGGGGAUCUUGCACAGUGGGGGAAACCCUGAUGCAGCAACGCCGCGUGAGGGAAGAAGGUUUUCGGAUUGUAAACCUCUGUCCUUGGUGAAGAAGGAAGUGACGGUAUCCGAGGAGGAAGCCACGGCUAACUACGUGCCAGCAGCCGCGGUAAUACGUAGGUGGCAAGCGUUGUCCGGAUUUAUUGGGCGUAAAGGGAACGCAGGCGGUCUUUUAAGUCUGAUGUGAAAGCCUUCGGCUUAACCGGAGUAGUGCAUUGGAAACUGGAAGACUUGAGUGCAGAAGAGG